Nycticebus coucang (slow loris) is the source of this 4116-nucleotide RNA transcript. It is a transcript of the gene named DNA topoisomerase I mitochondrial, with no coding region annotated. The record is from RefSeq and is a predicted model, not a curated record. The transcript is spliced from 11 exons. Lineage: Eukaryota; Metazoa; Chordata; Mammalia; Primates; Lorisidae.
CUGGCGUCGCCUGGGACUUACUUCUUGAUGUGUAGAAAGGAUCGUAAGGAACUGGUAGCAGCAUCUGUGUGAGGUGGGCCUUCCGGGAGAUCCCGUCAGCCCUGAGCUGCUCAUUCUGAAAUGUCAGGGCACCUGCAAGGCCGGUUGGUCCUAAGACAGCCCAGGGCCUCUGCUCAUGGCUUGCAGCCUUGAGACGGGUGGAAGCUGAGUUGGCUGGUGCCCAUGGAGGGUCGCUGAGGGCUGCAGGCCCAGCUCCUUCCUUCCCUGUGUCCACUGCUGCCCACCAGGCGCCAAAGCGAGGGGAGGAUGCGUGUGACCUCGCCUACUUGGUUUGACAGCGGACGGAGGCUGCACAGCCGCGGGUGGUGGCGCUGGCGGGCCUGCCCAGCGCUGCCGCCAAGCGCUGCUCUAGAGGUUUUGCAGCUUGGCGCUGCCCAAUGCGGACACCGGGCGGGGCCGCAAUGUACACGAUCUGUGGCGGUCUAGGGGUGAGGGGCUCCCGGGAGCUGCCCUGGCUGGAUCGCAGGGGCCUCUGCCGGUUUCUGAAAGUGCUGCGGCUUGGUGCCUGCUGCCGCCAUGAGCCCCAGUGCGCGACCGCGCAGGGCUCUCCACCACGUGAGGGCCCGUGGGAUGAGAAGAGCACAGGGAGGGUGAAGUGGAUGCAGCUGGAGCACAGGGGCCCGCACUUCACCCCCCCAUACGAGCCCCUUCCAGGUGAAGUCCGUUUCUUCUAUGAUGGAAAACCUUUGAAAUUGAGCCUGGCAACUGAGGAGGUUGCCACUUUAUAUGGAAAAAUGUUGGAUCAUGAAUAUACGACAAAGAAAGUUUUCCAAAAUAAUUUCUUCAGCGAUUGGCAAAAGGAAAUGACAACAGAAGAGAGGAAAGUCAUCACGAGCCUGGACAAGUGUGACUUCACUGAGAUCUACAGACACUUUGCAGACAAAGCUGCAGCCCGAAAGGCUCUGCCCAGGGAGGAGAAGCAGAAGCUAAAAGAAGCAGCAGAAAAACUUCAGCAAGAGUUUGGCUACUGUAUUUUAGAUGGUCACCGAGAAAAGAUUGGCAAUUUCAAGAUAGAGCCGCCUGGGUUGUUCCGGGGCCGUGGUGACCACCCCAAGAUGGGGAUGGUGAAGAGGAGAGUCCUGCCGGAGGACGUGAUCAUCAACUGCAGCAGAGACUCAAAGAUUCCUGAGCCACCAGCAGGUCACCAGUGGAAAGAGGUGCGCACUGAUAAUACUGUCACGUGGCUGGCCUCAUGGACAGAGAACGUCCAGGGCUCCAUCAAGUACAUCACGCUGAACCCAAGUUCAAAGCUGAAGGGAGAAAAAGAUUGGCAAAAGUAUGAGACAGCUCGACGCUUGAAAGGGGUUGUGGCUGAGAUCCGCUCCCAGUAUCAGGCAGACUGGAGAUCAGGAGGGAUGAGGACCCGACAGAGGGCCGUGGCCCUUUACCUCAUUGACAAGCUGGCGCUGAGAGCAGGGAGCAGGAAGGAGGAAGACAAGGUGGCCGACACUGCAGGCUGCUGCUCCCUCCGUGUGCGACACGUCCAGCUGCACCCGGUGGCCGAUGGCCACGAGCACGUCGUGGAGUUGGACUUCCUGGGGAAGGACGCAAUCCACUACCACAACCGAGUGCCUGUGGAGGGGCCGGUGUAUGAGAACCUGCAGCUGUUCAUGGACCACAAGGAGCCUGAGGACAAGCUCUUUGACAGACUGACUGUGAGCCUGUGUGCAUUCCCACUGGCAGUGGUGGAGGCAGGGCCCGGAGAGGGCAGGAGUGCCGAGUCCGCUCAGCUCAGCUCAGCUCGUUCACAGCAAGGCCCAGCCGGCUUUGACCCACCAGCUAACUCCUCUCCUUCAUCGUGCGGGAGGCAAGGAAGGGAAGGGAACCAAAGUGGUAUUCUCAGGGAAACCAUUUCCUCCCACUACACAGACGGCCGGCCUCAACAGACAUCUUCAGGACCUGAUGGAUGGGCUGACGGCCAAGGUGUUCCGGACCUACAAUGCCUCCAUCACUCUGCAGGAGCAACUGCGGGCACUGACACGCGAUCAAGGUAAAGAAGGAGCAGGUGGCCGAGGCCACUAUGGAGCUGAGGAGGGCGAAGGCCGACCAUGAAACCGAAGGGGACGGCAAGUCCAGGAGGUGAGUGUGGUGGCUCUUAAUUGUGUGUCUCUUGGGGGCUAGCCUGUCCAAGCCUGUUAUGGUUAGCCUUGGACUUCAGCUUUCCUUUGGCCAAUUUUGUUUACCUUUUGAUUAUUCUGUUGCAAUUUUUGAAAAUACCAACUAUAAUACUUGUGGAAAAUUGUGAGAUGGAGAUCCAGGUAAGGAGACACCCCUGCUACGAUGUGCCUGUCCGUGGGGGGAGGGCAGCAUGGCACAGGGCUCUUGGGCUGCUGUGGCUCUUGUUUUUUGUGUUUUUGAGACAGAGUCUCACUACAUCACCCUCAGUAGAGUGCCGUGGCGUCACACUUCAACAGCAACCUCAAACUCUUGGACUUAAGCGAUUCUCUUGCCUCAGCCUCCCAGGUGUUUCCAGGGAGGGAUUGCUGGGCCACUUGAUGACUCCAGGCUCAGUCUGAUCCCUAUGCCCCGCCCACACGCGUCGCCCCGCCUUUCAGCCUGACAGGUGAAGGGCAUCUCAUUGUGCUUGUGGCUUGCAUCUCCCUGAUGACUGAGGACUAAUGAUGUUUUUGCACCAUUCUGGGUGUUUAUUGGCCAUCUGCAUGUCUUUGGAGAAAUACCUGCUCCUGUCCUUUGUCAUUUUCUGGUUGGGUUGUCUGUCUUUAUUGUUGAGCUGUAAGCACUCAUUCUGGAUACAAGUCCCUUAUCAAAUACAUGAUUUGCAAAUAUUUUUUUUCCAUUUUCUUGGUUGUCUUUAGUUUCUUGGUGGUGUCCCUUGAAGCACACAUUUUAAAAUUUUCGGUUAGUCGAGAUGUUUUGUCAUUUCUUUUGUUGUUACGUCUAUCUAAGAAGGCUUUGCCUAACCCAAGGUCAUGGUGAUACAUUCUAAGUUCCCUCCUGAGAGGUUUAUUGUUUAGCUCUUAUAUUUCAUUUUGAGUUAAAUUUUUUUUUUGAGACAGAGUCUCACUAUGUUGCCCUUGGUAGAGUGCCGUGGUCUCACUGCUCACAACAACCUCAAACUCUUGAGCUUAAGCGAUUCUCUUGCCUCAGCCUCCCAAGUAGCUGGGACUAUAGGCACCCGCCACAAUGCCCAGCUAGUUGUUGUUGUUGUUGUAGUUGUCAUUGCUGUUUUAGCAGGCCUGGACCAGGCUGGAACCCGCCAGCCUUGGUGUAUAUGGCCAGUGACCUAUUCACUGAGCUAUAAGUGCUGAGCCUUGAGUUAAUUUUCAUGUGUGGUUGGAGGGAAUGGUCUGACAUCAUUCUUAGCAUGUAGCUGGCCAGAUGUCUCAGGAAGUGUGAGCCCUCCAAUUUUAUUUUUCUCUUUAAAGAUUGUUUUGGGGCUGAGCACAGUGGCUCAUGCCUAUAAUCCUAGCACCCUGAGAAGCUAAGGUGGAUGGAUUGCCUGAGCUCAGGAGUUUGAGACCAGCCUGAGUAAAGUGAGACCUCAUCUCUACUAAAAAUAGAAAAAAUAGCUGGGUGUCAUUACAGGUGCCUGUCCUCCCAGCUACUCCGGAAGCUGAGGUAGGAGGAUGGCUUUAGUCCAGGAGAUUGAGGUUACUGUGAGCUAGGCUUACUGCACUCUAGCCUGGGGCAACUCUAGUCAGACUCUAUCUCAAAAAAAAAUUUGUUUUGGCUACUUGGGAUCCUUUGAAAUUCCACAUGAAUUUUAUGAUCAGUUUGUUAGUUUCUGCAAAGAAGCCAGCUGGGAUUCCGAUAGUGAUUGCACUGAGUCUAUGAUCAUAUUGCCAUCUUGAUGAUGCUGAGUCUGUAAACAAUCUUUCUAUAACUUAGGUUGUCUUUAAUUUCUUGGAACAAAGUUUUGUAGUUUUUAUAGUAAAAUUGUUUCCUUAAGUAUUUUAUUUUUUUGAGGCAAGUAUUUUAUUCUUUUGCCUGGGCUUGGAGUGCCAUGGUAUCAUGGCUCACAGCAACCUCAAACUCCUGGGCUCCAGCGACCCUCCUGCCUUAGCCUCCUGAGUAGCUGAGACUAUAGGGCCCUCU